GACCCUUCGGGGAGCUUGCACAGGUGCUGCAUGGCUGUCGUCAGCUCGUGUCGUGAGAUGUUCGGUUAAGUCCGCUAACGAGCGCAACCCUCGCUGUGUGUUAUAUGUGUCACACGGGACUGCCGGUCUUAAGCCGGAGGAAGGUGGGGAUGAUGUCAAGUCAGCAUGGCCUUUAUAUCCUGGGCUACACACACGCUACAAUGGCCAACACAAUAGGUUGCUAAGCCGCGAGGUGGCGCCAAUCCAUAAAGUUGGUCUCAGUUCAGAUUGUAGGCUGCAACCCGCCUGCAUGAAGAUGGAGUUGCUAGUAACCGCAGGUCAGCUAUACUGCGGUGAAUACGUUCCCGGGCCUU
Molecule: ribosomal RNA, 353 nt
Filed under: uncultured Leptolinea sp.
Lineage: Bacteria; Bacillati; Chloroflexota; Anaerolineae; Anaerolineales; Anaerolineaceae
Description: bacterial SSU rRNA
Rfam family: Bacterial small subunit ribosomal RNA
Source: RNAcentral